GGGCGAUUGGCGCAGCUGGUUAGCGCGCUUCCCCGACACGGAAGAGGUCACUGGUUCGAAUCCAGUAUCGCCCA
RNAcentral lists this transfer RNA (74 nucleotides) under Arcanobacterium sp. RNAcentral describes it as "tRNA-Val". It matches the Rfam family "tRNA". Rfam says of the family: Transfer RNA (tRNA) molecules are approximately 80 nucleotides in length. Their secondary structure includes four short double-helical elements and three loops (D, anti-codon, and T loops). RNAcentral also lists the same sequence under 1 other name. Lineage: Bacteria; Bacillati; Actinomycetota; Actinomycetes; Actinomycetales; Actinomycetaceae. The record is from RNAcentral.